Molecule: long non-coding RNA, 4759 nt
Organism: Mytilus californianus (California mussel)
Lineage: Eukaryota; Metazoa; Mollusca; Bivalvia; Mytilida; Mytilidae
Exons: 2
Source: RefSeq, a predicted model, not a curated record
UGUAGUAUUUCAGUCAGAUAUAGCUACGGUGAAAGUUGAGCACUCAAUUCCGUGUAUAUUUGUUCAACGUUGUAUAUACUAAUUAUCACCCAAACAAUAUCGAUCGGCCGGUUUGAUUAUUUCACUACGAUAUUAUAUAUUUGAUUCAUGUCGCAUUUCUCAUGAUUUGCAAGAAGGACAUCCAAUACAAAACGGAAUUAAUGCAUGUCUGAAAGAACAAUCAUAUUCUGCCGAUAUGUAUAUAGACCUUUGGUUUUCAUUGCGAUAUCAAUUUAUUAAUUUUUUAUGCCCCACAUAGGGGCAUUAUGUUUUUCGGUCUGUACGUUCGUUCAUCCGUUCGUCCGUCCGUCCUGCUUCAGGUUAAAGUUUUUGGUCAAGGUAGUUUUUGAUGAAGUUGAAGUCCAAUCAACUUGAAACUUAGUACACAUGUUCCCCAUGAAAUGAUCUUUCUAAUUUUAAUGCCAAAUUAGAGUUUUGACCCAGUCAAUUUCACGGUCCACUGAACAUAGAAAAUGAUAGUGCGAGUGGGUCAUCCGUGUACUAUGGACACAUUCUUGUUACCUCCUGAAUGGAUACAUUAUUUGGAAACAUGGUCAUAUUCUACGUGACUGACAUAUAUAUAUUCUUUUUUUAAAAUGUUUCUCGUAAAUAUGCUUCCGAAUGCAAUUGUUUGAACCACGAAGUCCGAUAAGUUCGAAAUAUGUUUAAAACAUUCAAAAUAUAAAAAAAAAACGUGGAAUUUUUCGAACUUAUCAGAUUUAAACAUGAUAGUUAUCCUGUUUGAUGCUCUACUGUAAAAAUAACAUUAAGGAUUAUCCUCUUUUGCAAAAAGCUGUCAAUGAGGACAAGAGAUUACAUUAUCUUUUAGUUGUUCGCUUAUAACUGCGACUUUGAAAGGUGUAUAAUGUAUGAAUUAAUAAUGUAUGAGAUAUAAAACCAAUUAUAUGAUAUUACCUUUUACUCUAAUAUAAACUCCGAUUCAACGUUAUAGUGUGAAUUCAUUCAAAUAUGACAAUAAACUAGUUGUAUUCAAUUAUGUUAAGAGGUUCGCAAAUACUAACAACUCGUAUAAGAAAAUCAUAAUUUGUACAAAAUCACAACAUAUAUUAGAUUUAGUCUUCUCAUAUCUGAAUGGCGUCAGCCACGAAGAUAUCAGACGACUGCAUCUAAUUAACAUAGAAGUGGUAAAAAAUUAUUUGAUUUUAUCUUUCAUUCUAAAAAAACUUUCAGAAGAUGUUUUAUAAUUAUGGAUUAGGAAUGAAAUCUUAAUUGCUGCUACUUUUCUGUCAUCAAAUCGAUACCUUAUUCCUACUUUUGUAUGGCAAUAUAAAUCACUAUAAUGUCUUGUUUUUUACUGGUAUAUUUGUCAAAACCUGAAUUUUUUGAUAAAUGAUAAAACUUCUAUGUAAAUAAAUAUAUAUAUAUACAAGAAACUUUGCCAUCUCCCUACCGAUUCAUAAUGCCACUGAGGCACAAUUUUAUGUCAAAUCCUAGCAAAAUUAUUACUGAAUCGAAAAUUAUAGAAAAUUCUUUUUAAGUAUGCAGUAAUUGAAACAUGUCAACAUGUAAGCACAUUUAAUUACAUUUGAACACAAACAAAAUUCAUCAUUUACACCAGAUGAAAACGUUUUAAACCCCAGAAUCUUUAAAUCUAUCAGCUAAAAUUUUGUCCAUUUACUAUUUAUAGCUGACUAAAAGAAUGAACGUUUAUUCAUUGUCACCCUGAAAAUAACAGUGCUUAAAAUAUUUAACACUGGACGUGUAGAAUUAAGCAAUUUGAAUAACAAUCUUUUUUUUUCGUCAGCCAACUGGUCUUGUGUUCAAUUGAGUAAACAGCACGUCCGUACUUUGAUGUAGACUUUUAAAUCGUCACUUCAAAAUUCAAAACUUGAUAAGCAACUAAUUGAGACAAGACAGACCUACUAUACAUGACCCGUUCUUUUCCAGAUGACCUUGUUUUACAGGGUCAAUGACCGAUUUGUAUAAUCUGAAUGGUUCAUGGUCAAAUGCUGGCCUUGGUUCGACAAGUAAAAGUGGGUUUAAUGCUGGUUAAUAAACCAAGCAGUGACAAAGGACCUGGUCAUCUUUGUGCUUAGUGAAUUCAAUCGACGGUGGCCUUUAUAUUCCAAGUGUUUGUUAUGUUGCUCAACUUUAGUAUAAUGGGCAAUUGCAUAACAGACUGCAUAAGAACAUUUAAAACAAAACAAACAAGGCGCCUUUUUUUGUACCAAUUUCCCGGUUUUAACAUUAAAUGUUAUUAUAUAGUAAUUUUAACAGAUUGUACAACUUUUGAGUGUGUGUAUACAUGUAUAUAUAUGAUUUUUGGAUGAAAUGCGGAUACAACACGUGACUCGGUCCAAAUAAAACUAUAAAAGAAUCUUCACAAACCCAAAUGUAGCUAAUAACAUCAAGGCACCAAUUUUACUGCAACAGAUGCGCAUUUCGACAUUAAUAAAUGUCACUUCGAUGAUGCUUGAAUUCAAGUUGGUUAACUAGGACGAUUUCAGUAACGUUACAAAGUAGUGUUAGUUGAUCUAAAUGUCGUACUAGAAAUGUGUAAGCCUCAGCAACAUAUAAAACAAAUCUUGAAAGCUUUUUCAUAUAUUUUUUUUUAAUUAACAAACUGCUUGCUUAGAAUUUAAAAUUGAAAUAUACCAAAUUAAGCCUAAGAGCAACAACACAAAUCUAUUGACUUGUGUUUGCUUAACGUCCAGUGGCAAAUUUUUCAUGCAUAUUAAGGACAAGACAAACAUAUUAUUUGGCCUUCAUAUACAUGUUCAUGUACGUAUUCAUUCUUUAAAUUUAAAUAAGAGCAGAUAAGCUUCGUCAUAUUUGUAUUCUUUUAAAGUAACAACCCUGUUUCAUGUUGGUUAUUUCUGUUGAUUGUUGCUAUAUCCUCAUUUUAUGAUACAAAUUGGGUGUUGAUUUCAGUUCUCUUGUCGUAUUCCCAACUCUAGAUUACUGGCAAUGAGUCCCAAAUUUGGCAUGUGGUUAAAGUUGCUUGCCUGAAAGACGGCUGUAACUGUUGAUCUCUUUAACUUCUUUAUUUUGCGAACUUGUAUUGUUGCUGUAAUGCCUUAUUGUUUUAAUAUAUUUUUAAAAAAACUGAUCCAUCAAUGUAUUAAAUCUUGGCUGCUAUUAAAAAUAUCAAAAUUUUGUAUUUAAGGUAGAUGGGAUCUUGAUUAAACACGAUACAAAUGCCAAAAUGUACUAGUAGUUUAUAUCAUGCUUUCUUAAAAAAAUAUUAAAAAAAAUAUGUCACUGAGAUUUUUUCAAGCUACAGGUUGUGCAAAAGUGACAUAUUUUGUAAGGAUUAUACAUGUGAAAGCGCUUUUGUGAGAAAAGAAAGAAACGAUAAAACGUUAGAAUUCUAAAAUAUAUAUGAGAAGAUUGCUCUGAUAAUGUGAUUUCAGAAAAAAAAAAUUGAUCACCGUCCCUCGUUUUCUGCUACAUUACAAAACAGUAGAUUUACUGUACAUUCCUUUUUUAAGAUAGUUUUUUGAGGUAUCACUCAUUACGAAACAAAUUUGAUGAAAACAUUUAUUUAUAUAAAAGUUACCAUAAGAUGAAAUCGUAAGAGCAUCAAACUUGCUAAUUUCAGUAAAAAUCUAGACAGAUCAUUUGCAGCUAUUUACAGUCAAAUAUAUAAUUUAGAUCAUGAUAGUAAUCCCCCCCUUAACACACAAUCGACUUUAUUUCGUAUAUAGAAUGAAAUGAUUUACUCUCUUUCAACUUUUAUUUGAGUGCUUUGAACAAAACUUUCUUUUUAGUUGAAGACAGUCUUUUAAAAUAUAAAUAAGUUCUUGCAUUGAAUUCAAUUCUCCAUUCAUUAUGAUGACUGUAAACUAUAUCAAAUAACUCCAAUAAUUGUUCUGUUCAUUUAUUUCAUGUACUAUCUGAUUAGUUUUCAAGGACUACGUUUGAAAUAAAAGGAAUAGGUAGACAAAUUCCUUACAUCAAGUAAUUAAUACAAGGAAACUUAGAAAUUCAGGAAUCAAACAGAUUGGUAAAUAAAAAUAUAGAUAUUAAACAGAAUUGAAAGUUAUCAUUCAAUUGAAUUAACAGUCGUGUAUGUUGUACCGAAUGUGAUUUUUAUUUUGUUCAAUUCUUCUUGACACAGUCCUUUAUCUGUUAGUUCAUAAGUUCAUGAGACAUAUGCGUUUAUAUUAACUGACGUUUCACUUUGUUCAAACUAGAUAGUCGAUUUCAACAUGUUAAAUGUGGUAUCUUUGCUGGGUUUUCUUGGAGUAUGUUCAGCUCAUCUCUGUUUACUAGAACCUCAUCAGAGGGGCAGUUUGGCUGAUCCUCUCACUGCUGCUAAUCCUGACUGUCAUCUAAGAACAGCCCCUUGUGGUGGCAGGAAUGCAGAUGCAAAGCCUUCAGCAAGUUAUCAGAAAGGUACCAAUGUUGCUGUUACAUGGCAGAAAAAUUUCAGUCACUAUAACUCGAAGCAGCCAGGAAUUAUGGAAGUGUCAUUGAUAAGGGACACCGUUCCUUUUGAGGUUGUUACAACUGUCAAGGUGAACGACGACCACUUCAAUAAACAACAGAACUACACCAGAAAUCUGAUGAUUCCAGACAAUUACCAUGGUCAUCAUGGAAUUGUACAAGUUGUUUACAAAUCAAAUUCCUUAGAUGCAACUGGCACUCAGUAUACAUUUUAUUCCUGUGCUGAUAUUACUGUCACGUAACAAUAUAUAUAUGACUUUGUUCUAAAUCAUAAAAUCCAUAAGGCAUCUUAUUAAAGUGCAGAUCUAGA